RNAcentral lists this ribosomal RNA (253 nucleotides) under uncultured bacterium. RNAcentral's name for it is "partial 16S ribosomal RNA". It matches the Rfam family "Bacterial small subunit ribosomal RNA", at positions 524 to 776 of the family's 1533-position model. The record is from RNAcentral.
UACGUAGGGGGCUAGCGUUGUCCGGAAUCAUUGGGCGUAAAGGGCGCGUAGGCGGCUUCUCAAGCGUGCGGUGAAAGUCAGGGGCUCAACCCCUGAUCGGCCGUGCGAACUGGGGGGCUGGAGCACUGUAGAGGCAGGCGGAAUUCCGGGUGUAGCGGUGGAAUGCGUAGAGAUCCGGAAGAACACCGGUGGCGAAGGCGGCCUGCUGGGCAGUGGCUGACGCUGAGGCGCGACAGCGUGGGGAGCAAACAGG